Molecule: small RNA, 107 nt
Filed under: Marmota monax (woodchuck)
Lineage: Eukaryota; Metazoa; Chordata; Mammalia; Rodentia; Sciuridae
Source: RNAcentral
GCCGGGCAUGAUGGCACAUGCCUGUAAUCCCAGCAACUCAGGAGGCUGAGACAGAAAGAUCUCAAAUUCAAGAUUAGCCUUAGCAACUUAGUGAACCCCUGUCUCAA